GGGCUGCGCCGUGACUACUGCCGUGCGGCGUCAAAACCGUGCGGUGGGAAAGUGGUGCCCUGGCUUGCGGCUUUGCGCGG
This 80-nucleotide ribosomal RNA is filed under the name Acanthamoeba castellanii. Its description in RNAcentral is "partial 26S ribosomal RNA". Lineage: Eukaryota; Discosea; Longamoebia; Acanthamoebidae. RNAcentral also lists the same sequence under 2 other names. The record is from RNAcentral.